RNAcentral lists this ribosomal RNA (253 nucleotides) under Blautia luti. RNAcentral describes it as "partial 16S ribosomal RNA". It matches the Rfam family "Bacterial small subunit ribosomal RNA", at positions 524 to 776 of the family's 1533-position model. The record is from RNAcentral. Lineage: Bacteria; Bacillati; Bacillota; Clostridia; Lachnospirales; Lachnospiraceae.
UACGUAGGGGGCAAGCGUUAUCCGGAUUUACUGGGUGUAAAGGGAGCGUAGACGGCAAGGCAAGUCUGAUGUGAAAGGCUGGGGCUCAACCCCGGGACUGCAUUGGAAACUGUCCUGCUGGAGUGCCGGAGAGGUAAGCGGAAUUCCUAGUGUAGCGGUGAAAUGCGUAGAUAUUAGGAGGAACAUCAGUGGCGAAGGCGGCUUACUGGACGGUAACUGACGUUGAGGCUCGAAAGCGUGGGGAGCAAACAGG